Molecule: ribosomal RNA, 1012 nt
Filed under: uncultured bacterium
Lineage: Bacteria
Description: bacterial SSU rRNA
Rfam family: Bacterial small subunit ribosomal RNA
Source: RNAcentral
UGGGGAAUAUUGCACAAUGGGCGCAAGCCUGAUGCAGCGACGCCGCGUGCGGGAUGACGGCCUUCGGGUUGUAAACCGCUUUUGAUCGGGAGCAAGCCUUCGGGUGAGUGUACCUUUCGAAUAAGCACCGGCUAACUACGUGCCAGCAGCCGCGGUAAUACGUAGGGUGCAAGCGUUAUCCGGAAUUAUUGGGCGUAAAGGGCUCGUAGGCGGUUCGUCGCGUCCGGUGUGAAAGUCCAUCGCUUAACGGUGGAUCUGCGCCGGGUACGGGCGGGCUGGAGUGCGGUAGGGGAGACUGGAAUUCCCGGUGUAACGGUGGAAUGUGUAGAUAUCGGGAAGAACACCAAUGGCGAAGGCAGGUCUCUGGGCCGUUACUGACGCUGAGGAGCGAAAGCGUGGGGAGCGAACAGGAUUAGAUACCCUGGUAGUCCACGCCGUAAACGGUGGAUGCUGGAUGUGGGGACCAUUCCACGGUCUCCGUGUCGGAGCCAACGCGUUAAGCAUCCCGCCUGGGGAGUACGGCCGCAAGGCUAAAACUCAAAGAAAUUGACGGGGGCCCGCACAAGCGGCGGAGCAUGCGGAUUAAUUCGAUGCAACGCGAAGAACCUUACCUGGGCUUGACAUGUUCCCGACAGCCGUAGAGAUGCGGCCUCCCUUCGGGGCGGGUUCACAGGUGGUGCAUGGUCGUCGUCAGCUCGUGUCGUGAGAUGUUGGGUUAAGUCCCGCAACGAGCGCAACCCUCGCCCUGUGUUGCCAGCACGUCAUGGUGGGAACUCACGGGGGACCGCCGGGGUCAACUCGGAGGAAGGUGGGGAUGACGUCAGAUCAUCAUGCCCCUUACGUCCAGGGCUUCACGCAUGCUACAAUGGCCGGUACAACGGGAUGCGACAUGGCGACAUGGAGCGGAUCCCUGAAAACCGGUCUCAGUUCGGAUUGGAGUCUGCAACCCGACUCCAUGAAGGCGGAGUCGCUAGUAAUCGCGGAUCAGCAACGCCGCGGUGAAUGCGUUCCC